AUGCUCCCUCCUGAAAGCGAAGUUCAAGCUAGGGAGAAAGAACCGCCAGUAAACAUAGAAGACAGCAACAGAGCAGGAGACUUCGCCCUGCAGGGGACAGCUGCUGCAAGCAUGGCAAUUGUUAGCUCACUGUGGGCAGUUGUGAUCACCACCUGCCUAGGAGCCAGCAUGGCCCAGACAGUCACUCAGCCUCAGCAGGAAAAGUUCGUGCAGGAGACAGAGUCGGCAACCCUGGACUGCACAUACGACACGAGUGAUACUAAUUAUAACUUGUUCUGGUACAGACAGCAAAGAGGGCAGAUGACUCUCAUUAUUCGCCAAGAAGCUUAUAAGCAGCAGAACGCAACGGAGAACCGCUUCUCCGUGAAUUUCCAGAAAGCAGCGAAGUCCUUCAGCCUCAAGAUCUCAGACUUGCAGCUAGAGGAUGCUGCGAUGUAUUUCUGCGCGCUCAUGAGAAGGGCACAGUGA
Non-coding RNA from Cricetulus griseus (Chinese hamster), 468 nucleotides. Lineage: Eukaryota; Metazoa; Chordata; Mammalia; Rodentia; Cricetidae. The record is from the annotation of a RefSeq genome assembly.